ACCCUCAAUUCUAUGCUACAGGCAUAGUAAUAAUUUCUGAUAUUUCUCAGCAUUUAUUCUGUGCCAGCCACUAUUCUAGGGGCUAAAUUGCACAACAACCCUGUAAGAUAGAAAACAGGUUUCUUUCAAUGUCUCAGCCUUUCUUUCUCUCGCUUCCAGGAUUUUGCACACGCUGUUCACACUGCUCUCUGCCUGAAACACUCUACUUUCUUUUCCCUUGCUCUUUGACCCUCUCUCAACUGGCUAAUUCAUACUAACACUUUAGGCCCCAGUUUAUUCAAUACUUCCUCCAAGAAGCGUUCCUCACUUCCUAAAUCUGGGUAUAUGUGCCACCCUCACUGCCUAUAUUCCCAUUACACCCUGAACUCCCCCAUCAGAAUACUGUUUACUGGUCUAUACCUCACACUGUAUUUUAUGUUUUCUUUGGGGAAGGGGUGUAUCUCUAUUACCAUUGUAACUCCAUUCCCAGAAUCGAGCACAAUGCCUGGCAUAGAAGAGAUGCUCAAUCACUAUAUGUUGAGUAAAUGAAAAAACCUUAAACAAAGGUUGCUAAUAGCAUUAUGUCUCUAAUACCAGCCAGGGCAGAAAGAAAUGCCUCCCAGUAUGUAAAAUUAGAGAAAACCAUCAAUGUCUAUAAAUUCAAGAAUGGCGAUCAACAGUAUCAACAUAGCCUAACUCAUUAUCAAAUAUUCUUUAACCAGUUAAGAAACAAACAAGAUUGGACAGAUUUGGGAGUUCUAUCCAGAAUGUUAUUUCAACAAAUCUCAUAAGGUAAAUUUUAGCUUGACAUACGAUUCUGUAGCAAAUAAAUCUCCUUUCCAGGUUCUACCCUAUCAGGCCAACAUGUUCGGCUUGAAUUCUGUCUGUCCCAGAAUUAUGGAUCCUUUCACAUGUAAGAUUUGUAAUAGUAAUUCAUUCAUUUAUGGAAAAUGCAGUCUUGUAGGGAUAACAAGAGAAUAUGUAUUUGGGGGUUAGGUAUGUCUGUAUUUUCAGAGUAGUAUCUACCGCUGAUCCUUAUUUAAAAGCCUGCUGAGUCGUUGCCUUGCCCUAAUACUUAAAAACUCAAGCAUCUAUUUAUGGCAAUUAUUAUUAUUUUUUGAGACAGAGUUUC
RNAcentral lists this long non-coding RNA (1111 nucleotides) under Homo sapiens (human). RNAcentral describes it as "HSALNT0078459". Lineage: Eukaryota; Metazoa; Chordata; Mammalia; Primates; Hominidae. The record is from RNAcentral.